Molecule: long non-coding RNA, 626 nt
Organism: Oncorhynchus kisutch (coho salmon)
Lineage: Eukaryota; Metazoa; Chordata; Actinopteri; Salmoniformes; Salmonidae
Exons: 3
Source: RefSeq, a predicted model, not a curated record
AGCUGCAGUACUGUGAGGCUGGCCCUGUCCAGGUCCGCCCCCAGGCUAUACGCUGCAGACGGCAGGCUUCUGAGCUCCUGUGUGGACAUCCACAGGGACAUGCUGCUGUGUGUGUCAACAGGACAGCCCUUCAUCAGCCCUGAAGAUUGUGGGGACAAGAUUGAGAUGAGAGCUACCUUCGCUCGAAUGAUGAGAUCUCUAGACUCUGGUAAUACCACAACAGACAGGGGACCAAAGGAGCACCUGACUACCACAAUUCCAUGAGGCUGCCAUUCUCUCCAUUGGGCUGCAGAAGCAUAGAACUGCUACGAAACAACUGUACCAUGCCUGAUCAAGAUUGGUGUUAUCCACUGUUGUUGGACUGUCGCUAUGUUCAAGCAAAUCCCAAUGGGACAGUAACUACCAGGAACCGUGUGAUGUUAUAUAUUCACCAUGAGUGGGAAGCAGUGGUAUAAGCGAGUCAGAAACUCAGCAAAAAAAAGAAACGUCCCUUUGUCAGGACCCUGUCUUUCAAAGAUAAAUUCGUAAAUUCGUUAAACACUGUUUACCAUGCUUGUUCAAUGAACCAUAAACAAUUAAUGAACAUGCACCUGUGGAACCCAUCGUUUUACAGACGGUAGGCAAUU